GACGAACGCUGGCGGCGUGCCUAAUACAUGCAAGUCGAGCGGAACUGGGGGAGCUUGCUCCUUCCAGUUUAGCGGCGGACGGGUGAGUAACACGUGGGCAACCUGCCCUGCAGAUCGGGAUAACUCCGGGAAACCGGUGCUAAUACCGAAUAGUUUGGCGCCUCUCCUGAGGCGCUACGGAAAGACGGUUUCGGCUGUCACUGCAGGAUGGGCCCGCGGCGCAUUAGCUAGUUGGUGGGGUAACGGCCCACCAAGGCGACGAUGCGUAGCCGGCCGGGGAGGGUGACAGGCCACACUGGGACUGAGACACGGCCCAGACUCCUACGGGAGGCAGCAGUAGGGAAUCUUCCGCAAUGGACGCAAGUCUGACGGAGCAACGCCGCGUGAGUGACGAAGGUUUUCGGAUCGUAAAACUCUGUUGUGAGGGAAGAACACGUACCAACUAACUAUUGGUACCUUGACGGUACCUCGCCAGAAAGCCACGGCUAACUACGUGCCAGCCGCCGCAGUAA
This 512-nucleotide ribosomal RNA is filed under the name uncultured bacterium. RNAcentral describes it as "partial 16S ribosomal RNA". It matches the Rfam family "Bacterial small subunit ribosomal RNA", at positions 28 to 523 of the family's 1533-position model. The record is from RNAcentral.